This 253-nucleotide ribosomal RNA is filed under the name uncultured bacterium. RNAcentral describes it as "partial 16S ribosomal RNA". It matches the Rfam family "Bacterial small subunit ribosomal RNA", at positions 524 to 776 of the family's 1533-position model. The record is from RNAcentral.
UACGGGGGGGGCAAGCGUUGUUCGGAAUUACUGGGCGUAAAGGGCUCGUAGGUGGCCAACUAAGUCAGACGUGAAAUCCCUCGGCUUAACCGGGGAACUGCGUCUGAUACUGGAUGGCUUGAGUUCGGGAGAGGGAUGCGGAAUUCCAGGUGUAGCGGUGAAAUGCGUAGAUAUCAGGAGGAACACCGGUGGUGUAGACGGCUUUCUGGACCGUAACUGACGCUGAGACACGAAAGCGUGGGUAGCAAACAGG